CCAGAAGCGGGGGACAACAUUUGGAAACAGAUGCUAAUACCGCAUAACAGCGUUGUUCGCAUGAACAACGCUUAAAAGAUGGCUUCUCGCUAUCACUUCUGGAUGGACCUGCGGUGCAUUAGCUUGUUGGUGGGGUAACGGCCUACCAAGGCGAUGAUGCAUAGCCGAGUUGAGAGACUGAUCGGCCACAAUGGGACUGAGACACGGCCCAUACUCCUACGGGAGGCAGCAGUAGGGAAUCUUCCACAAUGGGCGCAAGCCUGAUGGAGCAACACCGCGUGAGUGAAGAAGGGUUUCGGCUCGUAAAGCUCUGUUGUUAAAGAAGAACACGUAUGAGAGUAACUGUUCAUACGUUGACGGUAUUUAACCAGAAAGUCACGGCUAACUACGUGCCAGCAGCCGCGGUAAUACGUAGGUGGCAAGCGUUAUCCGGAUUUAUUGGGCGUAAAGAGAGUGCAGGCGGUUUUCUAAGUCUGAUGUGAAAGCCUUCGGCUUAACCGGAGAAGUGCAUCGGAAACUGGAUAACUUGAGUGCAGAAGAGGGUAGUGGAACUCCAUGUGUAGCGGUGGAAUGCGUAGAUAUAUGGAAGAACACCAGUGGCGAAGGCGGCUACCUGGUCUGCAACUGACGCUGAGACUCGAAAGCAUGGGUAGCGAACAGGAUUAGAUACCCUGGUAGUCCAUGCCGUAAACGAUGAGUGCUAGGUGUUGGAGGGUUUCCGCCCUUCAGUGCCGGAGCUAACGCAUUAAGCACUCCGCCUGGGGAGUACGACCGCAAGGUUGAAACUCAAAGGAAUUGACGGGGGCCCGCACAAGCGGUGGAGCAUGUGGUUUAAUUCGAAGCUACGCGAAGAACCUUACCAGGUCUUGACAUCUUGCGCCAACCCUAGAGAUAGGGCGUUUCCUUCGGGAACGCAAUGACAGGUGGUGCAUGGUCGUCGUCAGCUCGUGUCGUGAGAUGUUGGGUUAAGUCCCGCAACGAGCGCAACCCUUGUUACUAGUUGCCAGCAUUAAGUUGGGCACUCUAGUGAGACUGCCGGUGACAAACCGGAGGAAGGUGGGGACGACGUCAGAUCAUCAUGCCCCUUAUGACCUGGGCUACACACGUGCUACAAUGGACGGUACAACGAGUCGCGAACUCGCGAGGGCAAGCAAAUCUCUUAAAACCGUUCUCAGUUCGGACUGCAGGCUGCAACUCGCCUGCACGAAGUCGGAAUCGCUAGUAAUCGCGGAUCAGCAUGCCGCGGUGAAUACGUUCCCGGGCCUUGUACACACCGCCCGUCACACCAUGAGAGUUUGUAACACCCAAAGUCGGUGGGGUAACCUUUUAGGAGCCAGCCGCCUAAGGUGGGACAGAUGAUUAGGGUGAAGUCGUAACAAGGUAGCCGUAGGAGAACCUGCGGCUGGAUCACCUCCUUUCUAAGGAA
This 1426-nucleotide ribosomal RNA is filed under the name Limosilactobacillus fermentum. Its description in RNAcentral is "bacterial SSU rRNA". It matches the Rfam family "Bacterial small subunit ribosomal RNA". Lineage: Bacteria; Bacillati; Bacillota; Bacilli; Lactobacillales; Lactobacillaceae. The record is from RNAcentral.